RNAcentral lists this ribosomal RNA (489 nucleotides) under uncultured Bacillota bacterium. RNAcentral's name for it is "bacterial SSU rRNA". It matches the Rfam family "Bacterial small subunit ribosomal RNA", at positions 224 to 704 of the family's 1533-position model. The record is from RNAcentral. Lineage: Bacteria; Bacillati; Bacillota.
GAGGGGCUCGCGUCCCAUUAGCUAGUUGGUGAGGUAAUGGCUCACCAAGGCUUCGAUGGGUAGCCGGCCUGAGAGGGCGACCGGCCACAGUGGAACUGAGACACGGUCCACACUCCUACGGGAGGCAGCAGUGAGGAAUCUUGCGCAAUGGGCGAAAGCCUGACGCAGCGACGCCGCGUGGACGAUGAAGGCCUUCGGGUCGUAAAGUCCUGUCGGGUGGGAAGAAUUGGCUUGGGGCUAAUAUCUCCAGGCCUUGACGGUACCACCAGAGGAAGCCCCGGCUAACUCCGUGCCAGCAGCCGCGGUAAUACGGAGGGGGCCAGCGUUGCUCGGAAUUAUUGGGCGUAAAGGGCGCGUAGGCGGCCAGGUAAGUUUGAUGUGAAAUCCCACGGCUUAACCGUGGAAUUGCAUCUUAUACUGCCCGGCUAGAGUCUGGGAGAGGGAAGUGGAAUUCCCGGUGUAGCGGUGAAAUGCGUAGAUAUCGGGAGG